GUAGUUUUUGAUAAAAAAUAUAACAAUAAUAAUAAUAAAAUCCACUUACUUUUCAACAAAUCCGCGUCGGGGUUUGUUCCGGAGUCGGUUUUUUUUUCGUACCGCAAUAAAAUUAUCGGUCCACAUAUUAUUACAGUUUCCGUUCGGCCGUUAAUGCACCUGCUAUUUUUUUUUAUUUAUUUUUUUUUUUUUUUAUCGCGCACCGUUUCGACGUUUUUUUCGUCGUGAACAACGGGUAAAUUUAUUAAUAUUGGAAACGAUAUUUUUCCGCCGCGGCCGUCACGAGGUCGCGGUUACCGGCCAUGUAAAACUGCAUUUUUUUUUUCCAACACGAAAGUCGAAUAAAAUAAAAAUUGCCGCGAAACACGUUAUUUUUUUUUUUCG
Cinara cedri is the source of this 384-nucleotide non-coding RNA. Lineage: Eukaryota; Metazoa; Arthropoda; Insecta; Hemiptera; Aphididae. The record is from the annotation of a GenBank genome assembly.